CCUACGGGUGGCUGCAGUGAGGAAUAUUGGUCAAUGGCCGGGAGGCUGAACCAGCCACGUCGCGUGCGGGAAGACGGCCCUAUGGGUUGUCAACCUCUUUUGUCAGGGAGCAAAGUGCAGUUCGGGACCUGCUGUGAGAGUACCUGAAGAAAAAGCAUCGGCUAACUCCGUGCCAGCAGCCGCGGUAAUACGGAGGAUGCGAGCGUUAUCCGGAUUUAUUGGGUGUAAAGGGUGCGUAGACGGGACGUCAAGUUGGUUGUGAAAUCCCGCGGCUUAACUGAGGAACUGCAACCAAAAGUAACUUUCGUGAGUGCGGGAGAGGAAAGUGGAAUUCAUAGUGUAGCGGUGAAAGGCGUAGAUAUUAGGAGGAACACCAGUGGCGAAGGCGACUUUCUGGACAGUAACUGACGUUGAGGCACGAAAGUGUGGGGAGCAAACAGGAUUAGAUACCCCUGUAGUC
This 460-nucleotide ribosomal RNA is filed under the name uncultured bacterium. Its description in RNAcentral is "partial 16S ribosomal RNA". It matches the Rfam family "Bacterial small subunit ribosomal RNA", at positions 338 to 795 of the family's 1533-position model. The record is from RNAcentral.